UUAAUAAAGAGUUUGAUCCUGGCUCAGGACGAACGCUGGCGGCGCGCCUAACACAUGCAAGUCGAGCGGACUGCGUCCGCAGG
RNAcentral lists this ribosomal RNA (83 nucleotides) under Oscillospiraceae bacterium. RNAcentral's name for it is "partial 16S ribosomal RNA". It matches the Rfam family "Bacterial small subunit ribosomal RNA", at positions 1 to 83 of the family's 1533-position model. Lineage: Bacteria; Bacillati; Bacillota; Clostridia; Eubacteriales; Oscillospiraceae. The record is from RNAcentral.